RNAcentral lists this ribosomal RNA (440 nucleotides) under uncultured bacterium. RNAcentral's name for it is "partial 16S ribosomal RNA". It matches the Rfam family "Bacterial small subunit ribosomal RNA", at positions 338 to 795 of the family's 1533-position model. The record is from RNAcentral.
CCUACGGGUGGCAGCAGUGGGGAAUAUUGGACAAUGGGGGGAACCCUGAUCCAGCGACGCCACGUGAGUGAAGAAGUAUUUCGGUAUGUAAAGCUCUAUCAGCAGGGAAGAAAAUGACGGUACCUGACUACGAAUCCCCGGCUAACUACGUGCCAGCAGCCGCGGUAAUACGUAGGGGGCAAGCGUUAUCCGGAUUUACUGGGGGUAAAGGGAGCGUAGACGGUGCAGCAAGUCUGCUGUGAAAGGUCGGGGGCCAACCCCGGGACUGCAUUGGAAACUGGUGGACUGGAGUACAGGAGAGGUAAGCGGAAUUCGUGGUGUAGCGGUGAAAUGCGUAGAUAUUAGGAGGAACACCAGUGGCGAAGGCGGCUUACUGGACUGUAACUGACGUUGAGGCUCGAAAGCGUGGGGAGCGAACAGGAUUAGAUACCCGAGUAGUC